Non-coding RNA from Oncorhynchus mykiss (rainbow trout), 3500 nucleotides. Lineage: Eukaryota; Metazoa; Chordata; Actinopteri; Salmoniformes; Salmonidae. The record is from RefSeq and is a predicted model, not a curated record.
UAGAUUUUCUAAAUCUGAAUCCAAUCUUCGGGGACGCGCAGCUCUCUCUGGUACCACCCCCUUCCCCAGUUCGGUCUCUCUCUCCUUAUUUCUCCUUCUCUUGCAGUGUGAUGUGUGGUCAUAUGACAGGGUCUGAAUACCAACACACUCGACAUGAGCGAGGAGGCGUAAACCGGAGAAAACAAGUGGCUAAGUGUGUGUCGCGGACACUGAGAGAGCGUGAGCGGUUACUGGGGAACGCCUAUCUGACUGAAACUGCGGAGAAGAAAAUUAGUUUAAAGCAACGGGGGACACUAACUAACUAACUUUAGGCAUAUCCAACCCAGCGAAGUUAAAAAAUAUAUAUAUAUUUACAAAUCGCAUCGUGUUAUUGCUUUCCACUUUUCUGAGCGGUGUGUGCCCAAAUCUCAGAAUCGGAGGAGGCUGGGGCUUGAGGAAGCAGUUUGGACAUACUUUUAUUUUAAAGUUAUACUUUUUUUUGUUGUUAAGCGUCAUUCUAGAGCGUCAGCCCUGAUUUUGGCUGGUAAACUUGAGUUGUUAGUUUGACAAUGGUCGGCGAGUUGAAUGAGCAGGUCCGGGAAAGACCCAGACCAAGGCCCAGCCCGGACUACCUGAUGCAGUUGAUGACAGACCGGAAGGUGAUGAGCUCGCUGCCCAAUUUCACUGGCAUCUUCACUCACCUGGAGCGGCUCUUAGACGAAGAGAUAGGUAGAGUGCGCAAGGACAUGUAUAACGACUCAAUGAAUGGCGGUGUGGCUGCCGAGGGGCGGGACUCCGAGGAGCUGCCUGAUGGGAUUGGUCCAGUGGCUCAGCUGCAGGAGAAGCUCUAUGUGCCCGUUAAAGAGUACCCCGACUUUAACUUUGUAGGUAGGAUACUGGGUCCAAGGGGCCUAACAGCCAAACAGCUGGAGGCAGAGAUGGGCUGUAAGAUCAUGGUACGAGGAAAAGGAUCCAUGAGAGACAAGAAGAAGGAAGAGCUGAACAGAGGGAAACCUAACUGGGAACACCUAAGUGAGGAACUUCAUGUUCUCAUCACAGUGGAAGACUCACACAACAGAGCUCAGAUCAAACUACAAAGAGCUACCGCAGAGGUCAAGAAACUGCUCGUACCAGCUGCUGAUGGAGAGGACAGUCUAAAAAAGAUGCAGCUAAUGGAGCUCGCCAUUCUCAACGGAACCUACAGAGACGCCAACAUCAAGCAACCCACUAUGGCCUUCUCCCUAGCCUCCUCUCAGCAGCCUCGGCUCAUCUCCAGCCCCUCCCCUGUCAUGCAGCAGGCUAUGCGGAGCCCCGCCCCUGGUCAACAGCCCAACCUCAUGCCUCACCUGAUUCGUCAGAUCCAGAGUCAGCAGGCCCUCAUGCAAGGAGCCAAUCAGCACGCAGCACUGAUGCAGCAAUCACCUGAAUCAGGAGGGUUCUUCUACGCUCCCUACGAAUAUUCCCCCUACACCCUAACUCCAUCUAUACUAGAAUACCCCAUGGACACUACUGGUGUACUAGGUAUGGCUUUCCAAACCAAAGGCUGAGAGAUGAACACUCUCCUACACAUGGACCUCUCACACACACACACACACACACACACACACACACACACACACACACACAGGCUUAUCUGAAAUGGGCCUCUUGUCUUCUUAAUGAUUAUGUCACUGUUUGAUGAUGUCACUGUUUGAUGGUGUCACUGUUAACCUCCUGUGUUUUGGUGAUGUGGUUGCGCGGUGAGCAGGAGCGAUGACGGCUCAGGUGCAACGCCACAAUAUGAGAGCCCAUCCUUACCAAAGAGUAGUGAACACCGACAGAGGUCAGUUAGAUCACCAGACUGUCUGCCACGGCAACUAAUCCCUGACCUCUGCCCACUGAUGACCCACCCGUCUCCGCCCGUGCCUCGCUCGUUGCCAUGCUCUGGACAGCAGCCACGCCCCUCCCCCAGAGUCACCUCUGCCUAACCAACCAGAGACCAGCGGCCAUGGUAACGAACCUUCAGGACCCAAUCAGGACCCAGUCACCAGCCACACCCACCCAAACACUACACUAUCAAGCCAUGUGCCCCUUUUAAAGGAAACCCCACAGCCAAACCCCCCAACCACAACCCCCUUUAACCAAAUCUCCCCAAUCUGCACUGGUCAGAUAACCUGGCUCUAUUCCUUGCCCUGCACUGAGUCGAUGUGGAGCUAUAAUAUUAUAAUAAUUCAAUAAUCCAAAUAAUAACAGUCAUAUGUGUGAUCAUAAUUAUACUUGUCGAGCACACUGACCCUCCACGGCCACUAGUCUGACUGUCCCUGUUCUCAAAACGUCACUGUCACACAAAACGUUACUUAGAUCGGGUUUUACCAGGUCACACCAGUUUCACACGAUGUCCUCUCUAAGACUAGAGUCUCGACUGUUGCACCAUGCCUGCCUUUCGACAGUGAGCUGAGCCUAUCUGAUGUGUAAGAUCUAAGCUCUCCAGGUAUACUCUCAACCACAACGUCACAGUAUUAUAGAAAUGUGGAGAACCAAGUGCCUUUUAGUUAUUUAAAUAGAUCUGUUACAGACCAGCCUUUUUAUGAAGGCUUUUCUAACCUCCAUGAAAGAGGAAUAACCUGACGCCAUCUUUUCUAUCUCUCAACACAGUGAAAGAGAUGUGUAUUUUACAGAAACCAUCUCAAUGUUGUGAUUUAACAUAAACCCACAUGUCUUCUGGGUUUAGAGUGAAGUGCCAAAGGGUUUGUUCCUUCCGUCUGUGCAGUAGGACCUUCUCAGAACAGUAUUAAUGUUGUGUGUUUAUUUUAUUUUGGGGAGUGGCGUUUAUGUAUUUGUGUGUGUGUGUGUGUGUCUGCCUUUGAGAACACACUCUAUCGUAUAGUGUUGUGUUAUUAGAUGUGUGUGUGUGUGUGUUACAUAUUUGAGCCCCUAACUAGCCUCUUGCCAAGCGGUUGUUUUUACUCCACACAAACCGUCUCCUUCAAGACAAAACAGGGACAAUACUGUACAACAUCUGUAACAUCUGUUUUAUAAUGCAAUUUUAUAUUAUAUUUUUUAUGUGAGAAAUAACAUUAAAUUAUGUUUUCAGAUAAGAACAGUAUACCUUACUAUGAAUAUAUUUUUUCAUUCAGUUUAAGAGCUAAUAUUGCCUCCAACCAAUGUGCCAUUCACAAAGUGUCCGGGAGUGUUUUUAAAAUCCUGAUAUACUGAAAACCUUCAAAUGUUCUGGAAGAUUCUUGUUUUUCAAGUUAAUCUCAGUGUUGCUUACCUUCUGUAACUUCUGUGUGUAAAGGAGGAUUAACUCUGUAGUACUGAAUAUUAAUCUUUGUACUAACUGACCCGUCCUGUACUGUUAACCUCUUUACUCAUAUCUGUCUCUGCUUUGGUUUCUUUUCAAAUAUAAACUGUGUGAAUCAGAUCAUUAAAAAGUGUUGUUAAUGUUUAACGUUUUAAAAGCUGGUAAAAAUAAUAAUAAUAACUAUUUGUACUGGGAAACAAUAACAUAUUAUUAAACUGGUAGUUUUAAAAAAAACUAA